UGGGGAAUAUUGCACAAUGGGGGAAACCCUGAUGCAGCGACGCCGCGUGAGUGAAGAAGUAUUUCGGUAUGUAAAGCUCUAUCAGCAGGGAAGAGAAUGACGGUACCUGACUAAGAAGCCCCGGCUAACUACGUGCCGGCAGCCGCGGUAAUACGUAGGGGGCAAGCGUUAUCCGGAUUUACUGGGUGUAAAGGGAGCGUAGACGGCUUAGCAAGUCUGAAGUGAAAGCCCGGGGCUCAACCCCGGGACUGCUUUGGAAACUGUUAAGCUGGAGUGCUGGAGAGGUAAGCGGAAUUCCUAGUGUAGCGGUGAAAUGCGUAGAUAUUAGGAGGAACACCAGUGGCGAAGGCGGCUUACUGGACAGUAACUGACGUUGAGGCUCGAAAGCGUGGGGAGCAAACAG
Molecule: ribosomal RNA, 403 nt
Filed under: uncultured bacterium
Lineage: Bacteria
Description: bacterial SSU rRNA
Rfam family: Bacterial small subunit ribosomal RNA
Source: RNAcentral